UCAAGAACGAAAGUCGGAGGUUCGAAGACGAUCAGAUACCGUCGUAGUUCUGACCAUAAACGAUGCCAACUGGCGAUCCGGCGGCGUUAUUCCCAUGACCCGCCGAGCAGCCUCCGGGAAACCAAAGUGUUUGGGUUCCGGGGGGAGUAUUGUUGCAAAGCUGAAACUUAAAGGAAUUGACGGAAGGGCACCACCAGGAGUGGAGCCUGCGGCUUAAUUUGACUCAACACGGGAAACCUCACCCGGCCCGGACACGGAAAGGAUUGACAGAUUGAUAGCUCCUUCUCUAUUCUGUGGGUGGUGGUGCAUGGCCGUUCUUAGUUGGUGGAGCGAUUUGUCUGGUUAAUUCCGAUAACGAACGAGACUCCGGCAUGCUAACUAGUUAUGCGACCCCGUGCGGUCGGUGCCAACUUCUUAGAGGGACUGGUGGCGUUCAGCCACACGAGAUUGAGCAAUAACAGGUCUGUGAUGCCCUUAGAUGUCC
RNAcentral lists this ribosomal RNA (484 nucleotides) under Acipenser schrenckii (Amur sturgeon). Its description in RNAcentral is "SSU rRNA". It matches the Rfam family "Eukaryotic small subunit ribosomal RNA", at positions 977 to 1482 of the family's 1831-position model. Lineage: Eukaryota; Metazoa; Chordata; Actinopteri; Acipenseriformes; Acipenseridae. The record is from RNAcentral.